This 255-nucleotide ribosomal RNA is filed under the name uncultured bacterium. Its description in RNAcentral is "partial 16S ribosomal RNA". It matches the Rfam family "Bacterial small subunit ribosomal RNA", at positions 524 to 777 of the family's 1533-position model. The record is from RNAcentral.
UACGUAGGGGCAAGCGUUGUCCGGAAUUAUUGGGCGUAAAGCGUUCGUAGGCGGUUUGCAAGUCUGGUGUUAAAGGCUCGGGCUCAACCCGGGUAUGGCAUCGGAACUGCAAGGCUGGAGUGUGGUAGAGGCAAGGGGAAUUCCCGGUGGUAGCGGUGGAAAUGCGCAGAGUAUCGGGAAGAACACCCGUGGCGAAGGCGGCUCUCUGGGACGGUACGUGACGCUGAGACGCGAAAGCGUGGGGAGCGAACGAGG